GCGCGAAAACUCUACAAUGCAGGCAACUGCGAUAGGGGAACAUCGAGUGAUCCUCAUAUUGGGGGUCUGUCCACCCGUCUAAAAAACGGGUGUUAGCAAGGGCCGGGCAAGACCGGUGCCAGCCGCCGCGGUAAUACCGGCGGCUCGAGUGGUGGCCGAUAUUAUUGAGUCUAAAGGGUCCGUAGCCGGCUUUGCAAGUCUCUCGGGAAAUCCAGCGGCUUAACCGUUGGUCGUCCGGGGGGUACUACAUUGCUUGGGACUGGGAGAGGUAGGAGGUACUCAGGGGGUAGGAGUGAAAUCCUGUAAUCCUUUGGGGACCACCGGUGGCGAAGGCGUCCUACCAGAACAGGUCCGACGGUGAGGGACGAAAGCUAGGGGCACGAACCGGAUUAGAUACCCGGGUAGUCCUAGCCGUAAACGAUGCUCGCUAGGUGUCACAACAGUCGUGAACUGUUGUGGUGCCGUAGGGAAGCCGUGAAGCGAGCCACUUGGGAAGUACGACCGCAAGGUUGAAACUUAAAGGAAUUGGCGGGGGAGCAC
Molecule: ribosomal RNA, 540 nt
Filed under: uncultured archaeon
Lineage: Archaea
Description: bacterial SSU rRNA
Rfam family: Archaeal small subunit ribosomal RNA
Source: RNAcentral